This 253-nucleotide ribosomal RNA is filed under the name uncultured bacterium. RNAcentral's name for it is "partial 16S ribosomal RNA". It matches the Rfam family "Bacterial small subunit ribosomal RNA", at positions 524 to 776 of the family's 1533-position model. The record is from RNAcentral.
UACGGAAGGGGCAAGCGUUGUUCGGAAUCAUUGGGCGUAAAGGGCGCGUAGGUGGUUCUGUAUGUCUACCGUGAAAGCGUACGGCUCAACCGUAUUUUGUCGGUAGGAACUGCAGGACUUGAGGCUGGGAGGGGCUGGUGGAAUUCCCUGUGUAGCGGUGAAAUGCGUAGAGAUGGGGGAGAACACUCGUGGCGAAGGCGGCCAGCUAGACCAGUUCUGACACUGAGGCGCGACAGCGUGGGGAGCAAACAGG